Molecule: long non-coding RNA, 346 nt
Organism: Drosophila simulans
Lineage: Eukaryota; Metazoa; Arthropoda; Insecta; Diptera; Drosophilidae
Exons: 3
Source: RefSeq, a predicted model, not a curated record
AUUCAGCUGCUUCUCCUGCGCCUGGUAAUUUUCCCCCUACCGUCUGCAUUCCUCCGAGUCGCGUGUGCAUCGACCUGUUGUAUCUUUUCUCCACUCUGGUGAAAUAAUUUUUAUAUUAUGUACAUAAGCAUGCAAAUGCAUUUCGCAAGGAUUCCUGUAGGUACAGCGAAUUUCCCUGCCAUUUCUCACAGUUUUCCCGCAAAGACCAAGAAGAGCCAAAAAAACGAUCAGGAUGAUCAACUUCAUGUUGGGGCGAGGGCUGGUUAAGUGUCUCCAGCUGCUGAUUGAAAUUAGUUUUAUAUCUGACCAGAAGUAGGCCAGCCAAUGAACUCGAUUCGCAAUCCAU